UGGCGGACGGGUGAGUAACGCGUGAGUAACCUGCCUUCAAGAGGGGGAUAACAUUCUGAAAAGGAUGCUAAUACCGCAUGAUAUAUCGGAACCACAUGGUUUUGAUAUCAAAGAUUUUAUCGCUUGAAGAUGGACUCGCGUCCGAUUAGUUUGUUGGUGAGGUAACGGCUCACCAAGACCGCGAUCGGUAGCCGGACUGAGAGGUUGAACGGCCACAUUGGGACUGAGACACGGCCCAAACUCCUACGGGAGGCAGCAUG
This 260-nucleotide ribosomal RNA is filed under the name uncultured bacterium. Its description in RNAcentral is "partial 16S ribosomal RNA". It matches the Rfam family "Bacterial small subunit ribosomal RNA", at positions 96 to 353 of the family's 1533-position model. The record is from RNAcentral.